RNAcentral lists this ribosomal RNA (1548 nucleotides) under metagenome. Its description in RNAcentral is "bacterial SSU rRNA". It matches the Rfam family "Bacterial small subunit ribosomal RNA". The record is from RNAcentral.
AGAGUUUGAUUCUGGCUCAGAACGAACGCUGGCAGCGUGGAUUAGGCAUGCAAGUCGAACGAGAAUCCUUGGCUUCAAUCCUUCGGGAGAGAAGCCUUGGAGGAGAGUGGCGGAAGGGUGAGUAACGCGUGAGCAACCUGCCUUUGAGUUGGGGAUAACUCGGCGAAAGCCGGGCUAAUACCGAAUGUGGUCUCCCGACGCCUGUCGGGAUGAUUAAAGAUGGGGACCCUUCGGGGCCUGUCGCUCGGAGAGGGGCUCGCGUCCCAUCAGUUUGUUGGUGAGGUAACGGCUCACCAAGGCUACAACGGGUAGCUGGUCUGAGAGGAUGGUCAGCCACACUGGGACCGAGACACUGCACAGACUCCUACGGGAGGCUGCAGUCGAGGAUCAUAGACAAUGCGCGAAAGCGUGAUCUUGCGACGCUGCGUGGAGGAUGACGGCCUUCGGGUUGUAAACUCCUGUCAUUUGGGAACAAUUGCGGAAGGGGUAAUACUCCUUUCGUUUGAUGGUACCAGAGGAGGAAGUCACGGCUAACUCUGUGCCAGCAGCCGCGGUAAUACAGAGGUGGCGAGCGUUGUUCGGAUUUACUGGGCGUAAAGGGUGUGUAGGUGGCUUGGUAUGUCGGGUGUGAAAGCCCACGGCUCAACCGUGGAACUGCAUUCGAAACUGCCGGGCUAGAGUGCGGGAGAGGAGAGCGGAAUUCUUGGUGUAACGGUGGAAUGUGUUGAUAUCAAGAAGAACACCGGUGGCGAAGGCGGCUCUCUGGAACGUUACUGACACUGAGGCACGAAAGUUGGGGGAGCGAACAGGAUUAGAUACCCUGGUAGUCCCAACCGUAAACGGUGUGCACUUGGUGUGGGGAGGUGUUGACCCCUCUCUGUGCCGGAGCUAACGCAUUAAGUGCACCGCCUGGGGAGUACGGCCGCAAGGCUAAAACUCAAAGAAAUUGACGGGGGCCCGCACAAGCGGAGGAGCAUGUGGCUUAAUUCGAUGCAACGCGAAGAACCUUACCAGGGCUUGACAUGCAGCUGCAAGCCACCUGAAAAGGCGGCCGCCUUCGAGGGCGCUGCACAGGUGUUGCAUGGCUGUCGUCAGUUCGUGCCGUGAGGUGUUGGGUUAAGUCCCGCAACGAACGCAACCCUUGUGUCUAGUUGCCACCACAGGUGAUGAGCCUGUGAGCACUCUAGACAGACUGCCCGUGCAAGCGGGAGGAAGGUGGGGAUGACGUCAAGUCAGUAUGACCCUUACGCCCUGGGCUGCACACGUGCUACAAUGGCUGGUACAGAGGGACGCGAUGCCGCGAGGUGGAGCAAAUCCCCAAAACCAGCCCCAGUUCGGAUUGGAGUCUGCAACUCGACUCCAUGAAGUCGGAUUCGCUAGUAACGGCGCAUCAGCUACGGCGCCGUGAAUACGUUCCCGGGCCUUGUACACACCGCCCGUCACAUCAUGAAAGCUGUCUGCACCCGAAGUCGCUGAUCCAACCUGCAAUUCGUAGGAGGAAGGUGCCGAAGGUGUGGGUGGUGAUUGGGAUGAAGUCGUAACAAGGUA